This 254-nucleotide ribosomal RNA is filed under the name uncultured bacterium. RNAcentral describes it as "partial 16S ribosomal RNA". It matches the Rfam family "Bacterial small subunit ribosomal RNA", at positions 524 to 776 of the family's 1533-position model. The record is from RNAcentral.
UACGUAGGGUGCGAGCGUUGUCCGGAAUUAUUGGGCGUAAAGAGCUCGUAGGCGGUGUGUCGCGUCGGUCGUGAAAACUUGGGGCUUAACCCUGAGCUUGCGGUCGAUACGGGCAUCACUGGAGUUCGGCAGGGGAGACUGGAAUUCCUGGUGUAGCGGUGAAAUGCGUAGAUAUCUGGAGGAACACCGGUGGCGAAGGCGGCAUCCUGGACCAACACUGACGCUGAGGAGCGAAAGCCAGGGGAGCAAACGGG